This 530-nucleotide long non-coding RNA is filed under the name Sorghum bicolor (sorghum). RNAcentral's name for it is "long non-coding RNA (SBIC_LNC008059)". Lineage: Eukaryota; Viridiplantae; Streptophyta; Magnoliopsida; Poales; Poaceae. The record is from RNAcentral.
GAACCGUAGGGGCAGAUGCUCAUUUUACAGGAAGGAAAGAAUCCAGUCAAUCUUCAAGUUUUCUUUUCAUGCGUGGUUGCCCGAGGCAAAGCACACGUCAAGAGAGAGAGAAAUGAGUUAAUCACAGGAUAUGAGGAAUCUGCCACCAUCCUGCUGCAAUGGUGAUGAAUCCCUUAAUUGUUUCCUGCGUUAAUCACUGCCAUGGGUCCCACCAAAAGUGAAUUUUCCUACGUUUUGAUUCCUACGAUCCAAACAUCUGUCCAAGUUCAUUUUCUUUAGUUUUCCGAUCCUCUAUUUUUUAUCACAUUCCUAUUCCUUUUUUACGUUUUUUUCUUUUCUUGUUUUUUAUAUUCCUUUAUUCCAAACAUACCCUUCAAUGAAAGAACGGGAGAUGGCAAAGGUGACGUGUCUGUAGCUACGAAUAGCCCACCGGGCCAUAUGAGCCCAUCUACGGCGCCGUAGCCCACCGGGCAGUGCCACACACCAAGCGAAAACCAAGUCCACUCGGAAAAAAAAAAAGAGAAUCAAAC